CUACGUGCAGCAGCGCGUAUACGUAGUGCCAGCGUGUCGAUAAUGGGCGUAAGGGCUCGCAGCGUUUCUAGUCUGAUGUGAAGCCCCGGCUCACCGGGGAGGGUCAUGGAAACUGGGGAACUUGAGUGCAGAAGAGGAGAGUGGAAUUCCACGUGUAGCGGUGAAAUGCGUAGAGAUGUGGAGGAACACCAGUGGCGAAGGCGACUCUCUGGUCUGUAACUGACGCUGAGGAGCGAAAGCGUGGGGAGCGAACAGGAUUAGAUACCCUGGUAGUCCACGCCGUAAACGAUGAGUGCUAAGUGUUAGGGGGUUUCCGCCCCUUAGUGCUGCAGCUAACGCAUUAAGCACUCCGCCUGGGGAGUACGGUCGCAAGACUGAAACUCAAAGGAAUUGACGGGGGCCCGCACAAGCGGUGGAGCAUGUGGUUUAAUUCGAAGCAACGCGAAGAACCUUACCAGGUCUUGACAUCCUCUGACAAUCUUAGAGAUAGGACGUCCCCUUCGGGGGCAGAGUGACAGGUGGUGCAUGGUUGUCGUCAGCUCGUGUCGUGAGAUGUUGGGUUAAGUCCCGCAACGAGCGCAACCCUUGAUCUUAGUUGCCAGCAUUCAGUUGGGCACUCUAAGGUGACUGCCGGUGACAAACCGGAGGAAGGUGGGGAUGACGUCAAAUCAUCAUGCCCCUUAUGACCUGGGCUACACACGUGCUACAAUGGACAGAACAAAGGGCAGCGAAACCGCGAGGUUAAGCCAAUCCCACAAAUCUGUUCUCAGUUCGGAUCGCAGUCUGCAACUCGACUGCGUGAAGCUGGAAUCGCUAGUAAUCGCGGAUCAGCAUGCCGCGGUGAGUACGUUCCCGGGCCUUGUACACACCGCCCCGUCACACCACGAGAGUUUGUAACACCCGAAGUCGGUGAGGUAACCUUUAUGGAGCCAG
RNAcentral lists this ribosomal RNA (933 nucleotides) under Bacillus velezensis. RNAcentral describes it as "bacterial SSU rRNA". It matches the Rfam family "Bacterial small subunit ribosomal RNA", at positions 501 to 1452 of the family's 1533-position model. Lineage: Bacteria; Bacillati; Bacillota; Bacilli; Caryophanales; Bacillaceae. The record is from RNAcentral.